AUUGAACGCUGGCGGCAUGCCUUACACAUGCAAGUCGAACGGUAACGGGCCUUCGGGUGCCGACGAGUGGCGAACGGGUGAGUAAUACAUCGGAACGUGCCCGAUCGUGGGGGAUAACGAGGCGAAAGCUUUGCUAAUACCGCAUACGAUCUACGGAUGAAAGCAGGGGACCGCAAGGCCUUGCGCGGACGGAGCGGCCGAUGGCAGAUUAGGUAGUUGGUGGGAUAAAAGCUUACCAAGCCGACGAUCUGUAGCUGGUCUGAGAGGAUGAUCAGCCACACUGGGACUGAGACACGGCCCAGACUCCUACGGGAGGCGGCAGUGGGGAAUUUUGGACAAUGGGCGCAAGCCUGAUCCAGCCAUGCCGCGUGCAGGAUGAAGGCCUUCGGGUUUUAAACUGCUUUUGUACGGAACGAAAAGCCUUCUUUUAAUACAGGAGGGUCAUGACGGUACCGUAAGAAUAAGCACCGGCUAACUACGUG
Molecule: ribosomal RNA, 482 nt
Filed under: uncultured bacterium
Lineage: Bacteria
Description: partial 16S ribosomal RNA
Rfam family: Bacterial small subunit ribosomal RNA
Source: RNAcentral